AUUAAAGUUGCUGCGGUUAAAAAGCUCGUAGUUGGAUUACGAAGUGGUGUUUAAAUGUCAUUUUGGUUUGUUUGUCUUUCGGGGCAUUCAGGUCAACUUGGCUUUUACUCACUGUUGUCAUUGUCUUUGCCCAAGGUAUAUGCCUUGUGUGCAUGGCAUUGACCUUCUAUUUUAUGGUAAUGUUGUAUCUUUCGGGGUACAUUCAUUCCAUAUAGUUUACCUUGAAAAAAUUAGGGUGUUUAAAGCAGGCGAAAAGGCUUCGGAAUAUAUUAGCAUGGGAUAAUAGAAUACGAUCUAGGUCGUAAUUUGUUGGUUUCUACGGCUUAGGUAAUGAUUGACAGGGAUAGUUGGGGUCGCUCGUAUUGAGUUGUCAGAGGUGAAAUUCUAGGAUUAACUCAAGACGAACUAAUGCGAAAGCAUUCGGCAAGGAUGUUUUCAUUAAUCAAGAACGAAAGUUGGGGGAUCGAAGAUGAUCAGAUACCGUCGUAGUCUCAACUGUAAACUAUGUCGACCGAGGAUCCGGUAGCGUUACAUGGAUGACCUUCCGGGCACUCUGUGAGAAAUCAUAAGUAUUUGGAUUUCGGGGGGAGUAUGGUCGCAAGGCUGAAACUUAAAGGGAUUGACGGAAGGGCACCACCAGGAGUGGAAUCUGCGGCUUAAUUUGACCCAACACGGGAAAACUUACCAGGUCCGGACACAGUGAGGAUUGACAGAUUGAGAGCUCUUUCUUGAUUUUGUGGGUGGUGGUGCAUGGCCGUUUUUAGUUGGUGGAGUGAUUUGUCUGGUUAAUUCCGUUAACGAACGAGACCUUAACCUAUUAAAUAGCUGCGCGAACCCAGGUUCUUUAACCAUUCUCUCCUUCGGGGGGGCGUGGUAUCAUUAUUUUGCUUUUCACUUUCGGGUGGGAGGUAGGGUAGUGAUAGGGCCUGAGAUGAGUUGGUGAUUUGGCUUCUUAGAGGGACUACUUGCAUCCUUAGCAAGGGGAGGUUUGAGGCAAAAACAGGUCUGUGAUGCCCUUCGAUGUUCUGGGCUGCACGCGCGUUACACUGGCGCAUGCAAAGAGUUUAAAAUUACUGUCCCGAUGGGGUUGGUAAAUCUUUUUAAAGUGCGUCGUGAUGGGGAUAGAGCAUUGAAAUUAUUGCUCUUGAACGAGGAAUUCCUAGUAAUUGCAGGUCAUCAACCUGCAAUGAUUACGUCCCUGCCCUUUGUACACACCGCCCGUCGCUCCUACCGAUGGUUGAACCGAUGAGGACUCGGGAUGAUCUUAUUAGAUCGGUCGGUCGAAAGAUCGAUAGACUAUUAGGUCAGAACUUGUUCAAAUCUUUUUAA
RNAcentral lists this ribosomal RNA (1329 nucleotides) under metagenome. RNAcentral describes it as "SSU rRNA". It matches the Rfam family "Eukaryotic small subunit ribosomal RNA", at positions 603 to 1772 of the family's 1831-position model. The record is from RNAcentral.